UCUCCGCACGUACCGUGACUUUUAAAAAUAAAUAAGUCAUCUCAGAAAACUAAAGCCUUCGUCUUCUUCCAUAACCAACCUGAUGGAGGCGGACAAACCCUAGAUGAGUCCCGUAGGUUCCCGUCCUGGCGGCUGGCGCCCCUUGCCGGCAAACUCUCCCCUUCUGCACGUGAGUUCCAUCCUCCUCUUUCCGAAGUUCUUUGGAAUUACCGGAUCUCUUUUCUGUCAUACCCCUGGAGGCACCCUGCUCCAAGAUCGAUCCAUCAGGACGGCCUGAGCGACCUAUUCCCUGCGGCUGGUCUCCUGUGCAACAACCCAAUCCAGCCAUCCAGGCCAUCCACGAAGAUCUGUACUUUAUGUGAUUGGGUUGUCAUGGCAAUUGUUGUUGAGAUAAGAUAAUCCAGCGCUGACAAUCACGAGACAGGAGAAAAACAAGUCACUCGGCUGCAGGACAGCCAUGCCACAUUCAACAGGUGAUCGACCAGUUCAUCUAUGAAAACUGAGAAGAACUUCCAUGGGAGAAUUUGCAAGGAGCACAAGAAAUGGCCUUAAGGAAAAGCUAUGAAAAGAUACAAGAGCAGAGCAGAGAAGAUUGGGGGAGCAGAUCCGCGUGUAGAUAUAUAGGUUUCAACUAGUUAGCAUUACAUUAUAUAUUUUUCCAGUGACCUGUGCAAUGUUUUAUGGAUCUUGUACCUUUCAGUUGUAAAGAUUGUUUUUUUAUAAUAUAAUUUCUUAUUCACCACCG
Brachypodium distachyon (stiff brome) is the source of this 745-nucleotide long non-coding RNA. RefSeq lists it as uncharacterized. The transcript is spliced from 4 exons. The record is from RefSeq and is a predicted model, not a curated record. Lineage: Eukaryota; Viridiplantae; Streptophyta; Magnoliopsida; Poales; Poaceae.